RNAcentral lists this ribosomal RNA (374 nucleotides) under Nerita atramentosa. RNAcentral's name for it is "eukaryotic LSU rRNA". It matches the Rfam family "Eukaryotic large subunit ribosomal RNA", at positions 1348 to 1657 of the family's 3401-position model. The record is from RNAcentral. Lineage: Eukaryota; Metazoa; Mollusca; Gastropoda; Cycloneritida; Neritidae.
CCGACCGUCGCAGCACUACGAGCACCCNCGGGCGCCAAGCUGCGACGAGUAGGAGGGCCGCCGCGGUGNGCAUUGAAGCCUGGAGCGCGAGCUUGGGUGGAGCCGCCGCGGGUGCAGAUCUUGGUGGUAGUAGCAAAUAUUCAAACGAGAACUUUGAAGACUGAAGUGGAGAAGGGUUUCAUGUGAACAGCAGUUGAACAUGAGUCAGUCGGUCCUAAGAGAUAGGAGAACUCCGUUCUGAUGCGGGGGCAAUGCCGAGAAUUCAAUCAUUGACAUUCGUUGCCCGUCUUCUAUCGAAAGGGAAUCGGGUCAAUAUUCCCGAACCUGGACACGGAGAUUGGCCCUCACGGGUCACGUGCGGUAACGCAAACGAA